This is an RNA transcript of Trichoplusia ni (cabbage looper), 2125 nucleotides long. It is a transcript of the gene named sepiapterin reductase, with no coding region annotated. The record is from RefSeq and is a predicted model, not a curated record. The transcript has 5 exons. NCBI's taxonomy places the organism in Eukaryota, Metazoa, Arthropoda, Insecta, Lepidoptera, Noctuidae.
AUGUCAUGCCAUUGAUUUGAUUGUCAGGCUUCUCGGAGGUUUAGUAAUCCUAUAUUUUUUUUGUAAAAGUAUUUUCCACCAUCAUUAAACUAAAUAAUAGGCGAUAGCCUACGUUUGAAGUUUGAUGGAUCCUUGGGGCAGUGAAGUUGAUAAAUCUGUGGUUGUUUCGGAGUUUGAAGAUAAUUUUAAGCCAACUUCCGUGUCCGAGAAGCUAUCAGAUUCUGAGCAGUAUCUCGCUAUAUUAGAGCGUAAACUCAAGGCAAUCAAAUCCAAGAACAAGGUUGUGGAUAACUUAGCUGCAUAUAGAGCUGAUUGUAUCGACCGGUUGAUGCGAGAGGGCUGUGACCUAGAUCCUGUUGUUGGUGACACUGAGGCUGAGAAAUUGUUACAGGAGUAACUUCUGAAUACUAUAGACCAUUUGUAGAAUGCGCAGUGAUGGCCGGUCGUAAGAGUCUGUUCAUAUUCCUGAUGGGUCUGGCGUGGAAAUGCCGCUUCAGCAUGCCGCUGCUCCUGAGCGGGACGGUGGCCGUCCUCGGCAGGGCUUGGAUGUUCCAGAUCAGAGUGCAUACCGUUCAUCGCCUGCAUGAAAAUGAGGUGAGUUAGUUGGCAUAUUACGAUGAAGACGAAGAGCAGGACGAGGACGAUGGUUCAUGGGAAACGGAGUCCACGGACUCCUGGGAGACCAUCGUGGAGGAGGUGGCUUACGGAUGACGUCACGACCACGACACCUUCUAAUAAACACAUUAGUUAAAGCGCGUUACGUUCCAUGGUCUUUUUAACUAAAUUACAUAAUGGGCGUAGGUUUAAUAGUCAUUGGCUAAGAUUUCUUUGGGAAAUUUUACGAUUUUUAUCGAAGAUUGCUAGAUUUCGGUUGAUUUGUGCAUAACUAUACUUCCCACCUUCUGCAUUAGUUUUCAAACUUAAAGCUAUUUUUCUGUUUUUUUUUCUUGAAGACAAUUUUCAAUGAAGUCUUGUCCUCUUUGAUGGCUGCUUUCUAAAGUUACUAUUUGAGAUAACUGAGUCUGCACAUGUUAAACAAGGUUUCUGAAAUAAAUGAAAUCGAAAUAACUCUGUAUUGAUAAACGUCACUUUGUUCAUAGCCGUUCUCAACUGUCAUGCUGUAUCUUGCCUUUAUGAAAAUGAAUGUGGCAAACAUUUAGUAAACCUAAAGUUGUUAACCUAUAAUUGGAGUCUUUUGAACAUUUUACAUCAUAAUAUUCAAUUUGACAUCUGUUUUUCAGUUACCAAAGAUCUAUCUACGCCCAUAUUUGAUCGUGAUCGAGACUUAUUUUCAAUAGGUGUUGGAUUUUAAGUUGUAAUGCUAGGAUCACAUAAGUUUGACAUUGGUGAAAGGCCGUGCUUAGAAGGGUACCGGCUAAAAAGAUCUGUGAGCAGAGGUAACAUAGGAGUUUGGCUAAAUAUUGCAAAGCUUUUUUUAUAUCAGCCGUAUUCAAAAGUGACAUUGAUAUGAUUCUGCCGUGAAAUUUUUUUCAUGACAAUUUUAAAUUUAAGAAUAUUUCAUCCAGCUAAAUGUUGUUUAUGAAUAUGGCUACCAACCUCUUUAUUAAAAAUGUCGUUUAUAGAGUGCGGUUGUACCUUCAACAGUGCGGCCCUGGGAUCUAUGUAUUAAUAUAUUUUUAUAUUAAUUUCUUGUUUGUUUCUAAUAUGUAUAUACAGAACCAUUUACGGUUAUUUUUAUUUGAUUAAAUAACUCCCCCUAAUGGGAUAUGAGAUUUGUUUUAAUUUUUGAUCGCAAGUAGCAAAUAUUUGUAGUGAAUAUGAUGUGAUCUCCUUUUUGUUAUGCGAAUUGUGACGAAAUAACUUUCUUAAAUUUUGUUUGAAGGUGGUGGAAAUACUAUGUAAAAUAUAUUGGUUUGGUAAGCUUCAAGUGAGCGCUUACUGGCAACAAAACUGUAAUAGUCUUGCAACUGUCGCAAUAAAAUUGUUUUAUCGGCGACAUCCAACCGCUAUCAUCCAAGUAUCGUAGUAUCUGGCAAACAGUUUCGUUUUUGUAAGCAGACAGUUUUGUUCCCAGUUUGUGCUAGGGUUAGUUUGAAUUUAACGAUCCAUAAAAAUGUUUGUAAAAUAAUUUGUAUCAUUAUUCAGUAAACUCAUGUUUGAAAAA